UACGAAGGGGGCAAGCGUUGUUCGGAAUUACUGGGCGUAAAGGGCGCGUAGGCGGCUUACCAAGUCAGGCGUGAAAUUCCCGGGCUCAACCUGGGGGCUGCGCUUGAUACUGGUGAGCUUGAAUGCGGGAGAGGAUAGUGGAAUUCCCAGUGUAGAGGUGAAAUUCGUAGAUAUUGGGAAGAACACCGGUGGCGAAGGCGGCUAUCUGGCCCGUAAUUGACGCUGAGGCGCAAAAGCGUGGGGAGCAAACAGG
Molecule: ribosomal RNA, 253 nt
Filed under: uncultured bacterium
Lineage: Bacteria
Description: partial 16S ribosomal RNA
Rfam family: Bacterial small subunit ribosomal RNA
Source: RNAcentral